GCCUCACUCUCUUCCUCUCUCAUCUCGCCGAACGCUCUCUCGGCGCCGUCACCCGACGGUUCGAUCCCUCCGCCGCCGUACGACCUCUCGCGCCACUGCUAGGCACCGAGCCCAUGCGCCGCAGAUCCGCGAUCCUCGGCAGUCAGAUUCGACUUGGAUGGGCGGAAGAGCUCGCUAUCUGGAUCUAGGUGGCACUACCUUCCUUAGAGCUGAUCGUGGGAGAAGCUGUCACGCAUCUUGGGGCCUGCCGCCACCGCAGGUCAGCUGCUCCCGCCGGCCGCAUGCCCCACUCCCCGGCCGCCGCGGUCCGCUGUGGCGCUGCUGACUCUCCUGCUCGUCGCGUGGUGGCCUCAUCUCCCCGGUCGCCCUUCUCAUUUGCAUCCAGCCACAGCUCUGCCUCCUUCCUCAUGCCGCUCGAGCUGUUCCAGUGAGGCUACAAAGCAGUCUACUAUUGUAUGGAGCAGAGCUAUGUACUGGUCUGAUUUCUCCCGAGUAUACUCUGCUUUCGGGUGUCUGAUUUGAUGACAAGAAUAUUGUGUUGACGGUCAACCUGGACUGUAAAUUGGAACCGGAAGCAAUAGCUCUCCAGGCACGCAAUGCAGAGUAUAACCCCAAGGCCCUGAAGCAGGCGCAGGGGACUGAUCUGUGUGCAUUCUGCGUUUGCGAGAACAUUUGCAUGAUGGCGUCCGAAAGGAGCAGAUCUCAAAGACAGGA
Triticum aestivum (bread wheat) is the source of this 714-nucleotide long non-coding RNA. RefSeq lists it as uncharacterized. The record is from RefSeq and is a predicted model, not a curated record. The transcript is spliced from 3 exons. NCBI's taxonomy places the organism in Eukaryota, Viridiplantae, Streptophyta, Magnoliopsida, Poales, Poaceae.